AGGGUUUGUAACAUCCUCACUACGAGGUAAAGAGUCAUUCAAAAGCAGCAUUCUCUCUUGUGACAGCAGGAAGCAAGGGGAGAUGGGUCUAACAACAUGUAACCAAGGUUUCAAAUGAAGGAUAGGCGUUGACUUAGAACUGCACAUAGCAGUAGAGAACUGCACUCCAGGAUGUUGCGCUGAAGUAAUAACAACUGCAUACAAAAUACACACCACCGCCAAUAUUUCAACUUUCGAAGUCCAGUCCUCGAGGACUUGAAAUGAUGAGCCAGGAAAGGAGGUAAGCUUGCAAUCAGUUGUCAGUAACCCCAAAAACCUUGCAACUAAUAUCUCAACAACCUCUUGUUGAUGAUAAGGCAAAUCCCGUAAGGGUGACUUUAAUGAAUCAUGUUCCACACAAGAAACCAAGUUUCUCGGUUUUGACACCGGAAUUAGUUGGAGGAAAGAGGAGACCUGGCUAGUGGUGAGAGAGCUGGAGAGAGCGACUUCAGCUAGUAAAGGUUUCAUCAACAGAGGCUGAACAGAUAGCAUACCUGCAUAGGAGCAGAGAAGCUUGAGCGAGAAACUGGUGGAAGCACAGAGAAACCAUGGCAUCGGAGCUUUCGGAUCUAUCUGAUGGUGAGGAGUGGUGAAGGACGACGAGAUAUGGUGGAGAAAUGCACAAACUAGAAGAACCGGUGGAGGGUCGGAAGGGACUGGAGGGACAAGAGGAUUCACCAGAAGCAUCACGUCGAGAUUUGGAUCUGGUGGUUUAGUCGGUAGGGGAGGAAACCAGAUGAAACAACUUCAGGAGAUUCCAUUGACAGAGAAUGGGAAAAGCUUCGGGAAGGAACGCGAGGCGUCGACAUCAGCAGAGGAGAGGCUCGUGGUUAAGAGACGGAUGAGCAAGCAUAAUCCUCAGAGAUGAGGUAAGAACUGUAUUCGACAGUAUAAACCUAGCGACGAGGAAACGGAAAAAAAUUUCGGUCAAAGUCACCCGUGAAGAACUUUAGAUCCAAGAUC
RNAcentral lists this long non-coding RNA (1002 nucleotides) under Brassica napus (rape). RNAcentral describes it as "long non-coding RNA (BNAP_LNC023615)". The record is from RNAcentral. Lineage: Eukaryota; Viridiplantae; Streptophyta; Magnoliopsida; Brassicales; Brassicaceae.